UUGAAUUAUAACAGCUCUAAUAUCUGCUUCUUGCGUUUCCUCUUUGAGGUUUAGAGAUGAUGUGUGGAAGGAAUGACGAAGUUAGGGUUGAAAUGGAAUACCUAAAGCAGUGCCACAAGAACAGAGUGAUAGGAUCUUUCCUUGGCUCCUUUUCUUUCAAAUCAUCAAGAGAAGCACUUAACAUAUCUAUUUCACUGAUUGUUUUAUUUUAACUAAUUGUUUACAGUUUUCUUUUAUUAUUGAAAAAAAGAGUCAUGGAUCUAGAAAAUUUUAAGUUUAAUGAUAUCUCAAAUGAUUUUGUUGUCAUAAAAAACAUUGUUGUUUGAACGCAAUUAAAAUAAACCAAUGGUUGUCCAUAGUUUAAACUCAACUAUCAAGAAAUUCAAAGUGGAAAAAUGAAAAGGAAACUGUUGUAGCUCUCUCAAAAGCUGAACCAACAACAGGAGCAAAUGUAAUUUUACUUUGUGUCAAGUUUAGUUUUCUUAAAGUAUUACAGAAGGAAAAAAAUCAUUAUUUCCAAUUUCCUGAUUUCAUAGAAAAAUUUAAGAUCUAUCAACUUCUGAAAAUUCUAUUUUGUUUUUUUUCUUUCGGAGAUAUAAAGCAAAAAGUAGUUUGAGAGUAGAACGGAAGGCGUGAGAUUGACGACACUUCAUGUCAACCUAAUUAACGGUUUCAAAACCAGUAUUGAUUUUGCACUCUGUACCGUUUUGUAUAGUUCCGAAAUCGCUCAUUCGUUAUCAACUCUACUAACAUUACACCUUUUUCCCUUCAAGAACACAAGAUAAAUUUUCAGUAAGUUCAAUGGAUAGUUAAUUAACGUCAAAGUGUGAUCAAGUCAGCAAAAAAAAAAAAAAAUAUAUACUUACAUUAAAAUGAAAGUAUAUUGGUGUAAAUGAAUUUUCGUAUUUAUGCAAACAGCUUAAAUGAAACUUAAAACCUUCCUAAUGAUUGUCUUCUCGCUUACUUGAUAACACUUCCGUGUUACUUAACUUUGAAGUGGCGCUAAUGAACAUUUAUCUUGCGUUCUUGAAGGACAAAACUGGGGUGUAGUUCUUUCUGAAAGUUAGUGAUUGUUUUUGGAAUUAAAGUCUCUUUUUCCGCUCCAGUGAGAGAAAUGAAGAUUCUUUCGUAGCUUGCAUCGGAGCGGAAAUACUUUUCACUGAUAGUGACAGGGGUUACUGAUUUUUUUUUAGAAAAUAACCUAUAUUGAGUAGCUUAAUACAACCCGGAAACUAACAUGAAAGUGUAUAAAAAGUA
Molecule: long non-coding RNA, 1257 nt
Organism: Stylophora pistillata
Lineage: Eukaryota; Metazoa; Cnidaria; Anthozoa; Scleractinia; Pocilloporidae
Source: RefSeq, a predicted model, not a curated record